AUUGAACGCUGGCGGCAUGCUUUACACAUGCAAGUCGAACGGUAACAGGCCUUCGGGUGCUGACGAGUGGCGAACGGGUGAGUAAUGCAUCGGAACGUACCCAGAGGUGGGGGAUAACGCAGCGAAAGCUGUGCUAAUACCGCAUGUGAUCUGAGGAUGAAAGCGGGGGACCGAGCAGCAAUGUUUGGCCUCGCGCCUUUGGAGCGGCCGAUGUCGGAUUAGCUAGUUGGUGGGGUAAAGGCCUACCAAGGCGACGAUCCGUAGCUGGUCUGAGAGGACGACCAGCCACACUGGGACUGAGACACGGCCCAGACUCCUACGGGAGGCAGCAGUGGGGAAUUUUGGACAAUGGGCGCAAGCCUGAUCCAGCAAUGCCGCGUGCGGGAAGAAGGCCUUCGGGUUGUAAACCGCUUUUGGCAGGAACGAAACGGUGUCCCCUAAUACCGGGCGCUAAUGACGGUACCUGCAGAAUAAGCACCGGCUAACUACGUG
Molecule: ribosomal RNA, 492 nt
Filed under: uncultured bacterium
Lineage: Bacteria
Description: partial 16S ribosomal RNA
Rfam family: Bacterial small subunit ribosomal RNA
Source: RNAcentral